RNAcentral lists this ribosomal RNA (2904 nucleotides) under Escherichia coli. Its description in RNAcentral is "23S ribosomal RNA". It matches the Rfam family "Bacterial large subunit ribosomal RNA". Lineage: Bacteria; Pseudomonadati; Pseudomonadota; Gammaproteobacteria; Enterobacterales; Enterobacteriaceae. The record is from RNAcentral.
GGUUAAGCGACUAAGCGUACACGGUGGAUGCCCUGGCAGUCAGAGGCGAUGAAGGACGUGCUAAUCUGCGAUAAGCGUCGGUAAGGUGAUAUGAACCGUUAUAACCGGCGAUUUCCGAAUGGGGAAACCCAGUGUGUUUCGACACACUAUCAUUAACUGAAUCCAUAGGUUAAUGAGGCGAACCGGGGGAACUGAAACAUCUAAGUACCCCGAGGAAAAGAAAUCAACCGAGAUUCCCCCAGUAGCGGCGAGCGAACGGGGAGCAGCCCAGAGCCUGAAUCAGUGUGUGUGUUAGUGGAAGCGUCUGGAAAGGCGCGCGAUACAGGGUGACAGCCCCGUACACAAAAAUGCACAUGCUGUGAGCUCGAUGAGUAGGGCGGGACACGUGGUAUCCUGUCUGAAUAUGGGGGGACCAUCCUCCAAGGCUAAAUACUCCUGACUGACCGAUAGUGAACCAGUACCGUGAGGGAAAGGCGAAAAGAACCCCGGCGAGGGGAGUGAAAAAGAACCUGAAACCGUGUACGUACAAGCAGUGGGAGCCUCUUUUAUGGGGUGACUGCGUACCUUUUGUAUAAUGGGUCAGCGACUUAUAUUCUGUAGCAAGGUUAACCGAAUAGGGGAGCCGAAGGGAAACCGAGUCUUAACUGGGCGUUAAGUUGCAGGGUAUAGACCCGAAACCCGGUGAUCUAGCCAUGGGCAGGUUGAAGGUUGGGUAACACUAACUGGAGGACCGAACCGACUAAUGUUGAAAAAUUAGCGGAUGACUUGUGGCUGGGGGUGAAAGGCCAAUCAAACCGGGAGAUAGCUGGUUCUCCCCGAAAGCUAUUUAGGUAGCGCCUCGUGAAUUCAUCUCCGGGGGUAGAGCACUGUUUCGGCAAGGGGGUCAUCCCGACUUACCAACCCGAUGCAAACUGCGAAUACCGGAGAAUGUUAUCACGGGAGACACACGGCGGGUGCUAACGUCCGUCGUGAAGAGGGAAACAACCCAGACCGCCAGCUAAGGUCCCAAAGUCAUGGUUAAGUGGGAAACGAUGUGGGAAGGCCCAGACAGCCAGGAUGUUGGCUUAGAAGCAGCCAUCAUUUAAAGAAAGCGUAAUAGCUCACUGGUCGAGUCGGCCUGCGCGGAAGAUGUAACGGGGCUAAACCAUGCACCGAAGCUGCGGCAGCGACGCUUAUGCGUUGUUGGGUAGGGGAGCGUUCUGUAAGCCUGUGAAGGUGUGCUGUGAGGCAUGCUGGAGGUAUCAGAAGUGCGAAUGCUGACAUAAGUAACGAUAAAGCGGGUGAAAAGCCCGCUCGCCGGAAGACCAAGGGUUCCUGUCCAACGUUAAUCGGGGCAGGGUGAGUCGACCCCUAAGGCGAGGCCGAAAGGCGUAGUCGAUGGGAAACAGGUUAAUAUUCCUGUACUUGGUGUUACUGCGAAGGGGGGACGGAGAAGGCUAUGUUGGCCGGGCGACGGUUGUCCCGGUUUAAGCGUGUAGGCUGGUUUUCCAGGCAAAUCCGGAAAAUCAAGGCUGAGGCGUGAUGACGAGGCACUACGGUGCUGAAGCAACAAAUGCCCUGCUUCCAGGAAAAGCCUCUAAGCAUCAGGUAACAUCAAAUCGUACCCCAAACCGACACAGGUGGUCAGGUAGAGAAUACCAAGGCGCUUGAGAGAACUCGGGUGAAGGAACUAGGCAAAAUGGUGCCGUAACUUCGGGAGAAGGCACGCUGAUAUGUAGGUGAAGUCCCUCGCGGAUGGAGCUGAAAUCAGUCGAAGAUACCAGCUGGCUGCAACUGUUUAUUAAAAACACAGCACUGUGCAAACACGAAAGUGGACGUAUACGGUGUGACGCCUGCCCGGUGCCGGAAGGUUAAUUGAUGGGGUCAGCGCAAGCGAAGCUCUUGAUCGAAGCCCCGGUAAACGGCGGCCGUAACUAUAACGGUCCUAAGGUAGCGAAAUUCCUUGUCGGGUAAGUUCCGACCUGCACGAAUGGCGUAAUGAUGGCCAGGCUGUCUCCACCCGAGACUCAGUGAAAUUGAACUCGCUGUGAAGAUGCAGUGUACCCGCGGCAAGACGGAAAGACCCCGUGAACCUUUACUAUAGCUUGACACUGAACAUUGAGCCUUGAUGUGUAGGAUAGGUGGGAGGCUUUGAAGUGUGGACGCCAGUCUGCAUGGAGCCGACCUUGAAAUACCACCCUUUAAUGUUUGAUGUUCUAACGUUGACCCGUAAUCCGGGUUGCGGACAGUGUCUGGUGGGUAGUUUGACUGGGGCGGUCUCCUCCUAAAGAGUAACGGAGGAGCACGAAGGUUGGCUAAUCCUGGUCGGACAUCAGGAGGUUAGUGCAAUGGCAUAAGCCAGCUUGACUGCGAGCGUGACGGCGCGAGCAGGUGCGAAAGCAGGUCAUAGUGAUCCGGUGGUUCUGAAUGGAAGGGCCAUCGCUCAACGGAUAAAAGGUACUCCGGGGAUAACAGGCUGAUACCGCCCAAGAGUUCAUAUCGACGGCGGUGUUUGGCACCUCGAUGUCGGCUCAUCACAUCCUGGGGCUGAAGUAGGUCCCAAGGGUAUGGCUGUUCGCCAUUUAAAGUGGUACGCGAGCUGGGUUUAGAACGUCGUGAGACAGUUCGGUCCCUAUCUGCCGUGGGCGCUGGAGAACUGAGGGGGGCUGCUCCUAGUACGAGAGGACCGGAGUGGACGCAUCACUGGUGUUCGGGUUGUCAUGCCAAUGGCACUGCCCGGUAGCUAAAUGCGGAAGAGAUAAGUGCUGAAAGCAUCUAAGCACGAAACUUGCCCCGAGAUGAGUUCUCCCUGACUCCUUGAGAGUCCUGAAGGAACGUUGAAGACGACGACGUUGAUAGGCCGGGUGUGUAAGCGCAGCGAUGCGUUGAGCUAACCGGUACUAAUGAACCGUGAGGCUUAACCUU